RNAcentral lists this ribosomal RNA (253 nucleotides) under uncultured bacterium. RNAcentral's name for it is "partial 16S ribosomal RNA". It matches the Rfam family "Bacterial small subunit ribosomal RNA", at positions 524 to 776 of the family's 1533-position model. The record is from RNAcentral.
UACGGGGGGGGCAAGCGUUGUUCGGAAUUACUGGGCGUAAAGGGCGAGUAGGCGGCCUUCUAAGUCAGACGUGAAAUCCCCCGGCUUAACCUGGGAACUGCGUCUGAUACUGGGAGGCUCGAGUAUGGGAGAGGGAUGUAGAAUUCCAGGUGUAGCGGUGAAAUGCGUAGAUAUCUGGAGGAACACCCGUAGCGAAGGCGGCACUCUGGGCCGAUACUGACACUGAGGAGCGAAAGCGUGGGGAGCGAACAGG